Small nucleolar RNA from Polyodon spathula (Mississippi paddlefish), 72 nucleotides. RefSeq annotates it as small nucleolar RNA SNORD59. Lineage: Eukaryota; Metazoa; Chordata; Actinopteri; Acipenseriformes; Polyodontidae. The transcript has a single exon. The record is from RefSeq and is a predicted model, not a curated record.
CCUUUGAUGAUGAUUUAAACAUACUUUCGUUCUUCUGAGUUUCAUGAAGCCAAACUAUCUGUCCUGAGAAGG